RNAcentral lists this unclassified non-coding RNA (400 nucleotides) under uncultured Acidimicrobiia bacterium. RNAcentral's name for it is "contains 16S-23S intergenic spacer region". The record is from RNAcentral. Lineage: Bacteria; Bacillati; Actinomycetota; Acidimicrobiia.
UGGGACUACUAGGGUUUCUAAUCCUGUUUGCUCCCCAUGCUUUCGCUCCUCAGCGUCAGUACCGGCCCAGAGCACCGCCUUCGCCACUGGUGUUCCUCCUGAUAUCUGCGCAUUUCACCGCUACACCAGGAAUUCCAUGCUCCCCUACCGGACUCUAGUCAGCGCAGUAUCGGAUGGCGUCUCCGGGUUGAGCCCUGAGUUUUCACAUCCGACUUACGCAACAGCCUACGAGCUCUUUACGCCCAAUAAAUCCGGACAACGCUUGGUCCCUACGUGUUACCGCGGCUGCUGGCACGUAGUUGGCCGGACCUUCUUCUGUGACUACCGUCAUUUUCGUCAUCACUGAAAGAGGUUUACAACCCGAAAGCCGUCAUCCCUCACGCGGCGUUGCUGCGUCAGG